GAUGAACGCUAGCGGUAUGCUUAACACAUGCAAGUCGUACGGGAGUUUUUAACUCAAGUGGCGGACGGGUGAGUAACACGUGAGAAUUUACCUUUAGGAGGGGAUAACAAUUGGAAACGAUUGCUAAUACCCCAUAUGCUUUUUUAAGUGAAACGGAUCUAUUCGCCUAAAGAAAAGCUCGCGGCUGAUUAGCUAGUUGGUAAGGUAAUGGCUUACCAAGGCGACGAUCAGUAUCUGGUUUGAGAGGAUGAUCAGACACACUGGAACUGAGACACGGUCCAGACUCCUACGGGAGGCAGCAGUGGGGAAUUUUCCGCAAUGGGCGAAAGCCUGACGGAGCAAUACCGCGUGAGGGAAGAAAGCCUAACUGGGUUGUAAACCUCUUUUUUCAGGGAGGAAAAAAAUGACGUGUACCUGAAGAAUAAGACAAUCGGCUAACUACCGUGCCAGC
This 451-nucleotide ribosomal RNA is filed under the name uncultured bacterium. Its description in RNAcentral is "bacterial SSU rRNA". It matches the Rfam family "Bacterial small subunit ribosomal RNA", at positions 28 to 512 of the family's 1533-position model. The record is from RNAcentral.